UACGUAGGGUGCAAGCGUUAAUCGGAAUUACUGGGCGUAAAGCGCACGCAGGCGGUCUUGUAAGUUUGACGUGAAAGCUCCCGGCUUAACUGGGAGAGGUCGUUGAAGACUGCAAGACUUGAGGAAAUGAGAGGGGUGUAGAAUUCCCGGUGUAGUGGUGGAAUGCGUAGAUAUCGGGGGGAAUACCAGUGGCGAAAGCGGCACCCUAGCAUUUUUCUGACGCUCAUGUGCGAAAGCGUGGGGAGCGAACGGG
RNAcentral lists this ribosomal RNA (253 nucleotides) under uncultured bacterium. Its description in RNAcentral is "partial 16S ribosomal RNA". It matches the Rfam family "Bacterial small subunit ribosomal RNA", at positions 524 to 776 of the family's 1533-position model. The record is from RNAcentral.